UACGUAGGGGGCGAGCGUUGUCCGGAAUCAUUGGGCGUAAAGAGCUCGUAGGCGGCUCAGUAAGUCGGCUGUGAAAGCCCGGGGCUCAACCCCGGAACUGCAGUCGAUACUGCUGUGGCUAGAGUCCGGUAGAGGAGAGUGGAAUUCCCGGUGUAGCGGUGGAAUGCGCAGAUAUCGGGAGGAACACCAGUAGCGAAGGCGGCUCUCUGGGCCGGUACUGACGCUGAGGAGCGAAAACGUGGGGAGCAAACAGG
This 254-nucleotide ribosomal RNA is filed under the name uncultured bacterium. RNAcentral describes it as "partial 16S ribosomal RNA". It matches the Rfam family "Bacterial small subunit ribosomal RNA", at positions 524 to 776 of the family's 1533-position model. The record is from RNAcentral.